AAAAAAAAAAAAAAUAUAUAUUUUCUGUUAAAUUAACCAAUAGUAAGGUUUUUUUUUUUUUUUGAGUUUUCUGUGAUUUAUUUAGUAAAAUUCAAUAGAAAAUUGUAUUAUGUACCUUGGAAGUUUUUGACGUGAAAAACUCGACCUACAACUACAAUCACAAACAAAACUUUGAAUUGCAAGGGAAAAUUUUUCCUCAAGUAAACCAAGCAGUAUUCGAGCAUAUGAACUAAAUGGGAAGUGAAAAUAGUCUCUGUAAUUAGGAUAACUUGCUAAGCAGUAAACAUGUAUAAAUUUCCAACUUAACAGGACGAAAUACCCACCAAAUCAGUGAUGGAUAUGAAAAGGAUUUACAUCACCUGAAACAUGACAAUCUCUGCGGCUUGGGUUUCUUUUGUUUUUUCUUUUUAUUCUCUUUCAUAAGAACCUUAACCCUCUCUGCAGAAGAAGGGAACAUCCAUCCUCUGUUGCAUCACCAGGAAGCCUUGAUUAGCUUUCCACCAUUGGCUCAGGUCCAGAACUCUCUGUGCACAACCUACUAGAUCGACGUAUGGAAUUGAAAAGGAUGUCCUUAAUAACCUGUGACAUUAGACCAUGGACCUGUUCCACAGUUAUUUUAGCACUAUCACGAGUAAUUUUAGCUAGUUGAGAUUCUUCCUCUUUCUUUCUUUGAGGUGGUGCUAUUAGUAGCCCAAAACGGGAGUGAGCCAAUUGAUUCUCAGCCUGCUCCAGCUUGUCAGCUAAAUCUGAAAUCUGUCCGGCAACAUAGUCUCCAUUACCCAGGAGAGGUGAAGAAGAUAGAGUAUUCACCCAAUAUUUGUUCCACAACAGGCCCAAGAGGUGACAAUCAAGAGAGGACUUGAAAUAAGUGAUAUCCAAAGCAUAAUACUGCUUGCAAUGUACACCAAAGUCUUCAAUCUUAUUAAGAGGAAUGGUCUGAUAUUCAGAGACAGGAUCAUCUGGAGGCUUAUAUCCUUCUGGGUAUGUCCUGAAUGCCCCAAUCUCAACUUUACCAGCUGAUACAGUCCUCGUUGGAUCAAUAACAACUGCCAAAAAAGGUUCUUGAAAUUGCUGGUUGAGCAUUUGAGUUGAAACAUCAAUACCCGAGAGCCAGCAUCCAUACCCAGGAUGAGAAUGAUACCACCCAACAACAUUCUCCAACCGACCCGCCUGCUUGUUAGUCUGGGAGUAAUCGACCAUAUACUCAUAGGCAUCUGCCUGGGCAUUAACCCUAGUCUCGGUUCCUUCAACAGGCAAGGCAAAUGCAUCCAUUACAAUGAUGGCGUCACCAUCAGUCUUUCCUUGCAUGAGUCCCAUGACCUCAAUGGUACCACCGGAUCGCGCGUGCACCACCAUCUUGAGAAGCGCGAGUGCAGAGAUCUUGACACGCCUAAAGUAAUGGGGAUCGUUAACCCACGGCCUGUCCUGCUGGAACUUAGCUUGCGCCGUCUCAUCGUAGUAGAAAAUGGCGUCUGACGAGGCGUCCGCCGUCGAAUUGGUGGAGGUUGGGGGCGUGUCCACGGUGAUUACAUUGUUCUCGAGUUCCCAGGUUUUCUGGGCUAUUGUAGCUGAGGACGAAGGGUACGGAUCCAUCUCUCUGCUUCCUAUUCACUGACGUCUCCAAACUAUGGAGAGAGUACAGGAUGGUUACAUUGGGCGUUUUCAGUUCUAUCGUGCAUAAUUAUUAAACCCAGUGAAAAUAUUGAGUCGAC
RNAcentral lists this unclassified non-coding RNA (1712 nucleotides) under Hevea brasiliensis (rubber tree). The record is from RNAcentral. Lineage: Eukaryota; Viridiplantae; Streptophyta; Magnoliopsida; Malpighiales; Euphorbiaceae.